UACGAAGGUCCCAAGCGUUAUCCGGAUUUAUUGGGUUUAAAGGGUGCGUAGGCGGCUUAUUAAGUCAGUGGUGAAAGCUCCAUGCUUAACAUGGAAAAUGCCAUUGAUACUGAUGAGCUUGAGUAGAUUUGAGGCGGGCGGAAUGUGUCGUGUAGCGGUGAAAUGCUUAGAUAUGACACAGAACACCGAUUGCGUAGGCAGCUCGCUAAACUCUUACUGACGCUGAGGCACGAAAGCAUGGGGAUCAAACAGG
Molecule: ribosomal RNA, 253 nt
Filed under: uncultured bacterium
Lineage: Bacteria
Description: partial 16S ribosomal RNA
Rfam family: Bacterial small subunit ribosomal RNA
Source: RNAcentral